This 363-nucleotide long non-coding RNA is filed under the name Phoenix dactylifera (date palm). RNAcentral describes it as "long non-coding RNA (PDAC_LNC007428)". Lineage: Eukaryota; Viridiplantae; Streptophyta; Magnoliopsida; Arecales; Arecaceae. The record is from RNAcentral.
ACCGGAUCUCUUCCACGAUCGGCUCCUCCCCGUCGAUCCCGCGUUCGUGAACCCAGGCGCCCGUUUCAAACGCAUCUUCAGCUUCCCCACCGCAUGCCAGCAACGCCCGUCUCCAAAUCCUCCGCAAUCACCGGCGAUCCCAGCCCCUCUUCCGUGAUCCGGCGAUCCCGCACCGCCCAGCCGAUCCCUGCAUCCGCGCCGGAUCUUCAACCAUGAUCAGCUCCCAUCAAUCACGAUCCUCUCCACGUGCUUGCUGAUGGGAUCUAUAUAAGAUCGGAGGAAGAGUAGAGAGGUGUGCUCGGUGGAGGCCAAGAAACAGAGGAGGGAGGAGAGGUUCCCGGUUUGGUUUGGAAGAGAGGGCUC